AUUGAACGCUGUCGGCAGGCCUAACACAUGCAAGUCGAACGAGUGGCGGACGGGUGAGUAAUGUCUGGGAAACUGCCUGAUGGAGGGGGAUAACUACUGGAAACGGUAGCUAAUACCGCAUACCAUCGGAUGUGCCCAGAUGGGAUUAGCUAGUAGGUGGGGUACAGGCUCACCUAGGCUACGAUCCAUGUCUGGGCUGAGAGGAUGACCAUCCACACUGUAACGUAGACACGGUCCAGACUCAUACGGGAGGCACCAGUGGUGAAUAUUGCACAAUGGGCGCAAGCCGGAUGCAGCCAUGCCGCGUGGAUGAAGAAGGCCUUCGGGUUGUAAAGGACUUUCAGCGGGGAGGCGUUACCCGCAGAAGAAGCACCGGCUAACUCCGUGCCAGCAGCCGCGGUAAUUC
Molecule: ribosomal RNA, 406 nt
Filed under: uncultured bacterium
Lineage: Bacteria
Description: partial 16S ribosomal RNA
Rfam family: Bacterial small subunit ribosomal RNA
Source: RNAcentral